Molecule: long non-coding RNA, 295 nt
Filed under: Brassica rapa (field mustard)
Lineage: Eukaryota; Viridiplantae; Streptophyta; Magnoliopsida; Brassicales; Brassicaceae
Description: long non-coding RNA (BRAP_LNC007408)
Source: RNAcentral
AGGAAGCUGGAGAUAAGAGACAGUCCGUUUGGGAACGCUGCGCUUCUUGCUGAUGUCGAUAAGUACAGAACAAUGCGAUCCCUUUGGAUGUCGUCUUGUGAAGUAACGCUCGGUGGGUGCAAGAGGCUGGCGAGAAACGCGCCGUGGCUUAACGUGGAGAUCAUUAAUGAGAAUGAGAAUAAUGAUGUGAUGGAGAGGAAUGAAGAAGAUGAAAGGGAGAAGGUUGAUAGGCUUUACCUUUACCGAACAGUGGUUGGGGCUAGAAAAGAUGCACCGCCAUGUGUUACGAUUCUUU